Molecule: long non-coding RNA, 2520 nt
Organism: Rosa rugosa (rugosa rose)
Lineage: Eukaryota; Viridiplantae; Streptophyta; Magnoliopsida; Rosales; Rosaceae
Exons: 11
Source: RefSeq, a predicted model, not a curated record
GGAGAGAGAGAGAGAGAGAGAGAGAGGAGUUAUUCAGGAUCGAGAGAGUGCAGGUUUGUUUCUAGAGAAAGCACAGUCGAAACACAGAGAGAGAGAGAGAGAGAGAGCGCGCGCGAAAGAGACAGUGGUGAUUCCGUUUUGCUGUGAGGAGGAAGAAGAUCUGCGUCUUGGAUAGGGAUAUUGUUCGGUUUUGCUGUGAGAAGGAGGAGGAUCUGCGUUUUGGAUAACUCUGUCGGGGGUAUUGUUUGUGCUUCAGUUUAUUUCAGUGAUUGAUUGGAGGAGGUUCAAGAUUCAUGGCAGCUAAGUAUUAGCUGUUAGAGAUGAAUUUUAGCCCUGGAUAAAGGCUUGAUAGAGCUUGGCUUUAUGUUUGAUGAGAGCUCAUAAAACCUUUUUUCGUUUGGGAUUUUGUUGAAACAGAAGAAAAGAAAAGAAGAAAUACAAGAGGAAGAAGAAAAGGAAGAAGAAGAGGGAAAUCGAGUAAAUUGAUCAUCCCAGUUUAUAAGAGAUGUAAGAUAAAAGCAAAGAUUUUCUUAUCAGCUAUUGGAAUUAUUGGGUUUUGAUAUGGGGAGGAAGGGGGUGAAUUUGGGUGGUAGGGAUUUCCAUAAGCAUAUCAAAAGAGGCAGCUAAUACAGUUCGAGAAGAAUCUUAGAACUUAGAAAAGAGCACAUCAGUUGAUAGCAGAAAAGUUUGGACAAGAGAACAUUGCAACUUUUUUUUGCCGCAGCAUCGCGCGGCUGGGUUUUCUAGUACAUACAUCUAAAGCAGAAAGCCAGAAAGGCCUGUUCAUUUUAGUGAACAGUAAAAUGACGCUUUUGCCCUUUGUUUUGUUCUGAAUUACAGUUUUUACGCUUUUGCCCUCCCUUUUUUCCUCUACAGCUCUAGAUAUUUUCCGUCUCUCGCUCUCUACCCCGACAGCUGUACAUCGUCUGUAGCACAAUCCUGAGAGAGUUCAAGAACCGAUCCAGAGAACCAUGAAGAGGAUUAGUGAGAGAGAGAAGUAAAAUUCAGGAAAGAUAAAGAAUUCAUCUCAUCAUCUCAGCACGACUUUAGUUGCUCUUCAUCCCGAGACUGAUCGGAGAGGCACACUGGGAAAGAAGUGGGAGAGGGAUCUGGGUUUUGACUACAGCCCCAAAUUUCUAAUCGGAGAGGCACACAGACUGAAGCGGUACUGUUUGUGCUCAAGUUUGGGAUUUGAGUGAUCGAUUCGAAAAGGUUCAAGUUUGGAUUCUGGACGGUUGAUUGAAAAAAUUACAAGACAUAAUAUGACGAAUCUCGGUUUUUGGAUUUUGAUUUGAGGAAGCUGAAAACUUAUCUGGGUAAUUGGUUUUCCAUUCCUAAUUUUUUUUUUAUAUCAAUUUUUUGGUUUAAUUGGUAAAUUAUUUUUUUCACGUCUUCAAAUGCUCUGAUCGAUUUUCCGGUUUGGAAUUUUUGGUUUAAUGUUCAUUCAAAUUUUACUUUUACAGAGAGCUACAAGAACUGUACUGGUUGUGUGUUGAGCUUAGUUUUUCUUAAUACCCUUGAUCCGAGUUUUUCUUACUUUAGAUUCUUCUGGAAUACGCUCCCCCUUGUGGAUUAAAUAGCAGUAAUUGCAAGGGGCUUGUAGCAGUGAGAGUGUCUAAGUAGUUCAGAUUCUUUCAUUCUUUCACUUAUAAAUUCAGAAUUUCAUUCUCUAGUCUUCAUAGUUUGCGUUAUCAACCAAGGAGAAGAAGAAGCCGUGCGAUACAUCUACCCUAGCACCACCACCUUUAUUGCCGUCCCUUGGAGGUGCUUGCUUUCAAGAUCUUCAAGUGUUCAACGUCUUCAAAGUCUUGUCUUCCAUCUUUCAUGGAAAUAAGCGGAAUUGCGAAAAUCAAUGAAAAAUAGUGCGAAAUUGAAGCAAUUUAAAGUUUCUGACAAAAGGACAAAAAGUCAACUGGUUGACCACCGGACUGGAUCAACCAAGUCAACUUGGCCCGAUAGCAUGAAGUUCAAGGCCCAAGACCAAAGAAGCACAAGUGAAAAUCCAAGUCCAUUUGUAUUACAUCUUUGUAUUCAAAUUUCAAAUUCAAAAUGGAUGUAAUGACAAUAAUAAUAGUGGACCACACCUCACACACAUCACACAUGUGGAUGAGAUAUUUAUUUGUGUUCACACUAGACACACACUCACUUACACUUUUACCCUCCGGUUUUCUUUAUAUUUUCCAAAAUGUUUUCUAAUAUUCUAAUUCUCUACAUUUUUAUUAGAUUGUUUUUGUCUUUUUCAUUUUACCCAUUUCUACUUGUUUUUGAGCCCUUAGAUCUAGGGUACAAGUCCAAUCUUGACCCUUAAACCCAAGGGGUAUUUAAGCACCUUUGCACACACAUUUCACAAGCUUAAGACCCUUUUUUCUACACCCUAGGCCUUUUGGCCGAAUUUUGGGAGAUCUCUCCCUUCUCACCUCUUCUUCUCUUCUCCCUCCUCUAUUUCUUUUUCUUCUGUUCAUCUUUGCCUUAAUUUUAUAUUGGGAUUUCAAGGAUAUCUCACCCAAAGCUUCAAGGAUU